CCAGACUCCUACGGGAGGCAGCAGUGAGGAAUAUUGGUCAAUGGGCGAGAGCCUGAACCAGCCAAGUCGCGUGAGGGAAGACGGUCCUAUGGAUUGUAAACCUCUUUUGUCGGGGAGCAAAAAGGCCUCGUGAGGCCACAAGUGAGAGUACCCGAAGAAAAAGCAUCGGCUAACUCCGUGCCAGCAGCCGCGGUAAUACGGAGGAUGCGAGCGUUAUUCGGAUUUAUUGGGUUUAAAGGGUGCGUAGGCGGACUGGAAGGCCGGCGGGAAAAGCGGGGGGCCCACCCUGUUUCCGCCGUUGAAACUGUCGGUCUUGAGUGGGCGAGAAGUAUGCGGAAUGCGUGGUGUAGCGGUGAAAUGCAUAGAUAUCACGCAGAACUCCGAUUGCGAAGGCAGCAUGCCGGCGCCCAACUGACGCUGAAGCACGAAAGCGUGGGUAUCGAACAGGAUUAGAUACCCCGGUA
Molecule: ribosomal RNA, 464 nt
Filed under: uncultured bacterium
Lineage: Bacteria
Description: bacterial SSU rRNA
Rfam family: Bacterial small subunit ribosomal RNA
Source: RNAcentral